GCUGAGUUAGCUCAGUCAGUAGAGUAUGAGACUCUUAAUCUCACAGUCGUGGGUUCAAGCCCCACGUUGGGCG
RNAcentral lists this transfer RNA (73 nucleotides) under Chaetura pelagica (chimney swift). It matches the Rfam family "tRNA". Rfam says of the family: Transfer RNA (tRNA) molecules are approximately 80 nucleotides in length. Their secondary structure includes four short double-helical elements and three loops (D, anti-codon, and T loops). The record is from Rfam by way of RNAcentral. Lineage: Eukaryota; Metazoa; Chordata; Aves; Apodiformes; Apodidae.